CCCGGGCCUCCCGCUGGACGCGCCCUCCGCGGGCGGGGUUGGAGGGGCGCCGCGGGGUUCGAGGACAGCCUGGGGCUGCAGAAGGCGAUCCGUGUCAGCCCAGGCUAGUGACGGCCUUCCUCGAAGAAAAAAACAAAAAAACAACAACAAAAAAAAGAGGCUGGAGAUGGCUUAACGGUUAAGGUGCCUGCCUGCAAAGCCAAAGGACCCAGGUUCAACUCCCCAGGACCCACGUGCGCCAGAGGCACAAAGGGGCGCCUGCGUGUGGAGUCCGUUUCCAGUGGCUGGAGGCUGUGGCGCGCCCAUCCCCCCCUUCCACAAGUAAACAAGAGAAAAGAAAGAAAAGUACUGGAUAAAGCUCUAUUCCAUUUGACGCAGGCCCUUCCUCACACAACGCCCGGGGCACAGGUGACAGAUCCUGAGGGGUCCUUCUGUACUCCCGACCUCCGUACCCAUCCCAACAUCUGCCGCGGUCAACAACCGAAGCCGGGACACACACCAGUGUGACCUCCUUAGUAUUCUCACGGAUGGGCAAGAUGACCAUGAAAGGACCCAAAGGAAACAACACACAGCGGGGCAUGGUGGCGCACUUCUGUCAUCCCAGAACGCGGGAGGCACAAGUAGGAGGAUCGCCAUGAGUUCGAAGCCACUCUGAGACUACAUAGAGAAGUCCAGGAAUCCACAGACAUUCCUCAUAAGUGGGUCUCUGAGGGUUGCUUCCAGGAAGGAUUAAUUGAAGGAGGAAUGCUUCCCCCAGGUGAGCCCUUCCCCCAGAGUGGGCGGUCCCUCUCCGAGGGGAGGUUUUAUCCUAAGAAGCUCUGGGAAGAAAGGUAUUCUCCUCCCCUCCCACCUGGCUUCCGGUGCUGCUUGCUGUUUGCUGUUUUGCUGCCUUUCAUUGUGGACUGAUGAGCAGCGUCUUUACAGGACACCUCCAGGUCUUCAGUGACAGACUGGGACGGCUGAGGCAUCCAGCGUCAUGGACUGAGCAGCUACCAGGUUCCUUGAUUCUCAGGCCUGUAAUCUGCUGUUGUUGGACUGUCGUAAAAUAAUCCAAUAAAUUCCCUUUUAAUAAAAUUCAUUCUGUUCCUCUA
This is a long non-coding RNA of Jaculus jaculus (lesser Egyptian jerboa), 1091 nucleotides long. RefSeq lists it as uncharacterized. The record is from RefSeq and is a predicted model, not a curated record. NCBI's taxonomy places the organism in Eukaryota, Metazoa, Chordata, Mammalia, Rodentia, Dipodidae. The transcript has 2 exons.